GAUGAACGCUGGCGGCGUGCCUAACACAUGCAAGUCGAACGGAGAUUACGGACGGAAGUUUUCGGAUGGAAGACUGUAAUUCUUAGUGGCGGACGGGUGAGUAACGCGUGGGCAACCUGCCCUAUACAGGGGGAUAGCAGCUGGAAACGGCUGGUAAGACCGCAUAAGUCGGCGAGACCGCAUGGUUUUGCCGGGAAAUGAGCAAUCAGGUAUAGGAUGGGCCCGCGUCCGAUUAGCCAGUUGGCAGGGUAAAAGCCUACCAAAGCAACGAUCGGUAGCCGGACUGAGAGGUCGGACGGCCACAUUGGGACUGAGACACGGCCCAAACUCCUACGGGAGGCAGCAGUGGGGGAUAUUGCACAAUGGAGGAAACUCUGAUGCAGCGACGCCGCGUGAGUGAAGAAGUAUUUCGGUAUGUAAAGCUCUAUCAGCAGGGAAGAUGAUGAUGGUACCUGACUAAGAAGCCCCGGCUAACUACGU
RNAcentral lists this ribosomal RNA (480 nucleotides) under uncultured bacterium. RNAcentral describes it as "partial 16S ribosomal RNA". It matches the Rfam family "Bacterial small subunit ribosomal RNA", at positions 28 to 506 of the family's 1533-position model. The record is from RNAcentral.